Molecule: long non-coding RNA, 568 nt
Filed under: Mytilus galloprovincialis (Mediterranean mussel)
Lineage: Eukaryota; Metazoa; Mollusca; Bivalvia; Mytilida; Mytilidae
Source: RNAcentral
GGGGGUCCUUAUUAUAGUAGAGUUCCAUCAUCAUUGACCCAUUAGAUUCUGAGAACUAGCGUGGACAAAAGUGUGGAAGAAAAAUAAUAAAAACUAGAUUUGCCAUUGCAAGCAAUAGCGGAUGGCACCCUUUCCCCAUUGCCAGGCCAGCGGCAGCCAUUUAGAAAAUUUUUGCUGUUUCCAUGGCAACGGCGGCCAUUUUGAAAAUUCGAAACUCAAAAGUUAAGUCUACAUAAGCUAGGCAAAAUUUGUUAUAAGUUUCAUUAAAUUUAAAGCAUUUUGAAGUUUUUCAUAAUUUUGCUGUUCCCAUGGUAACGGCGGCCAUUUUGAAUAUUCCAAAGUCAAACCCCCGCUGCAAUUUUUUCCCUCCAUAAUCAUAUACCAUUUAAUGUCUCUAGAAUAAAUUUAACAUUGAUGUUCUGGAAUGUUCUGUGAAAAUUCAAAGUUUUGACCUUUUUGCAUUGUUUCCAUGGUAACAACAGAUAUUUUGGAAAUUCCAACGCCAAAUUCCACAUCUUCCAAUGUUGCUCAUCGUUACUGUGAAGUUUCAUUGAAGUUUGGAGCAUUU